RNAcentral lists this ribosomal RNA (354 nucleotides) under uncultured bacterium. RNAcentral describes it as "bacterial SSU rRNA". It matches the Rfam family "Bacterial small subunit ribosomal RNA", at positions 30 to 317 of the family's 1533-position model. The record is from RNAcentral.
AUUGAACGCUGGCGGCAUGCCUUACACAUGCAAGUCGAACGGCAGCACGGGGGCAACCCUGGUGGCGAGUGGCGAACGGGUGAGUAAUGCAUCGGAACGUGCCCAGUAGUGGGGGAUAACUAGUCGAAAGAUUAGCUAAUACCGCAUACGACCUACGGGUGAAAGCGGGGGAUGCAGCACUUAAUGUUUUGGGAUGGCUACUUGUGGCCGCCUCGGGACAGUCUCAGGUGAGAACAUUAAGUGCUGCACCUCGCGCUAUUGGAGCGGCCGAUGUCUGAUUAGCUAGUUGGCGGGUAAAANCCCACCAAGGCGACGAUCAGUAGCUGGUCUGAGAGGACGACCAGCCACACUGGG